Molecule: non-coding RNA, 913 nt
Organism: Drosophila bipectinata
Lineage: Eukaryota; Metazoa; Arthropoda; Insecta; Diptera; Drosophilidae
Source: RefSeq, a predicted model, not a curated record
AGAGCAAGAGCCAGAGAGAGAAAAAAGAGUGACCACGCUCAAGCCAGAGAAUGGGGGGGGCCGACCGACACGUGUGCAGUUGGGCGAGCAAGAGUGGAAGAGAGAGAGAGAGUGAGUGAGAGCCAGAGAGCGGCUUGAGCUUGGCAGCAGCUGAGAGCGAAAUGAGCGUGAACUGAGAGUGAGACUGUGAGUUUGAGUUGCGGUGGACGGGUUUCGGGUUUUUUGAGUUUGAGUCGGCCCAGCCAGGCCACCAGGCACACUGUGUGAAACGUGAAAAUCAAGCGGCACAGUCGACGGCGACAAAAGCCAUUGCGAGCGCGUCUACGCGGCGCUCGAAAUAUUACAAAAAUAUACAAAAAAAAAGCCAAAACCAUUCAAAUACAACAAAAAAAUCAUAAAAUAGAAGGCAAACAAUCUAUAAAAACCGAGAGACAAUACGAAACGAGAUUCGAGAAAAACUAAUUUUCCAAAACAGAGAAAAUUCAAAUACAAAAAACAUUUUAUCCAAAACACACAUUUUUUUUCUCAUAUUUUGGUGUGUGAGUGCCCCCUGUGAGUGUAAAAAUUGGCGCUUCUUCUUCUUAUUAAUAUUGUGCGCGUUUUUUUUUGCAAUUUUUUUUUGAAUUUUUAAUUCUUUCAAUUAAAAAAUAAUACAAAAAAAAAGAAGAGCAAACAACUGCUUGGCAGCUGAUUUAAAAUUUUAACAAUAAUAAUAAUAAUAAUAGGAAGCACAAACAAACACCCACACAUACAAACACACCUGGACACACGUUGCAAGUUCAGCUGCUGUGACAAAAAAAUACAAAAAAUAAAGAAAAACAAAAGCAAACAAAAAGAAGAUCCCCAAAAAAAGGAGCCAAGACAACGGAAUUUUGCUUGAUAUGCACCGCAAGUUAAAGGCUAUCGAAGACCC